RNAcentral lists this ribosomal RNA (326 nucleotides) under uncultured soil bacterium. RNAcentral describes it as "bacterial SSU rRNA". It matches the Rfam family "Bacterial small subunit ribosomal RNA", at positions 26 to 378 of the family's 1533-position model. The record is from RNAcentral.
AGAACGAACGCUGGCGGCAUGCCUAACACAUGCAAGUCGAACGAGACCUUCGGGUCUAGUGGCGCACGGGUGCGUAACGCGUGGGAAUCUGCCCUUGGGUUCGGAAUAACAGCGAGAAAUUGCUGCUAAUACCGGAUGAUGACGUAAGUCCAAAGAUUUAUCGCCCAAGGAUGAGCCCGCGUAGGAUUAGCUUGUUGGUGAGGUAAGAGCUCACCAAGGCGACGAUCCUUAGCUGGUCUGAGAGGAUGAUCAGCCACACUGGGACUGAGACACGGCCCAGACUCCGUACGGGAGGCAGCAGGUGGGGAAUAGUUGGACAAGUGGGA